Molecule: long non-coding RNA, 982 nt
Organism: Lactuca sativa (garden lettuce)
Lineage: Eukaryota; Viridiplantae; Streptophyta; Magnoliopsida; Asterales; Asteraceae
Source: RefSeq, a predicted model, not a curated record
CCCAACACCCUUCUUCCACAUAUAUAUUCAUACUUUUCAAGGAUUAGGGUUAAGAAUGAGUGAGUGUCGCUUGAGAGGCUGCAUCAUGUAGUUGUGUUUGUGAACUUUGACUCACUCCCUUAACAGUCGAUGACUGCUAUCAUCUCUGGUGGAGUGAGCAAGUGUGAUUUAUUUCAUUCAUAAAAUUAAGGUAUGAGAGAGGAAGUGCAUCGCUAGGAAUGGGUGGCAGGGGAUAUGAAGUCCGACAACUUGGGAGGAUGUUUAACGAGAACUUGACUUCCGACAGCAGGUUUUCGGUGGGUUUUAGAAGCUAUGUUGAGUAUCGUAUUCACUCUAGGCGUUCACACUAAGUUUCUUGAUGAGAUUUUGUUCCAGUCGAAGGGAGGCUCAAGCGAAUCUGUGGAGAGUAAAUGCGAUAACCGAUUGUGACUAGCGAUCUGUUAACAGUCCAAUUUGUAAGCAACUCCAAUGGCGAGGUUUAAGCACCUUUUCAGCUAGAGAGGAGAGUGGGGAGAGAGAACUGAGAAAGCAACUCUAGUAGGUCGGUUCUCUCAUUCUGCGGUCGUCAUAUUAGACGGCGCUAGAGGGGUUGUCACCGAAGAAGCUUAAAUUGUCGGGAUUGAAGAAGGGCUUCGAUUGCCGAAUGAAUAGGGGUCCUUCUUGUAUCUAUGUAGGAGUUCGGGAAUCUGUCAGCCAGCAGCUGGGGUCGAGUCUGCGGGACUUCAGCAAAUGUGUGAUUAUGUCUUCGGAACUUCAGCAGUGUGAGGUACUUCGUGUUUAAAGGAAAGGAGCCGGCUUGAUCGCAACGCAUCACACUAUGGUUUUCCGCACAUGAGAUCUUUGGGAUUACACUCUGAUAUUAUUUUAUGAUAACACGUUUGAUUAUUUCUACUUUGGUUUUGACAUGACAUGAUAUUACGGAUGUUUUAUUACACUAUUGGUUUUAUAAUGACGUAUUUAAAAAUGAAAAUUUUGGCCUGUA